UUGACUUUUAUUUUGACGCUUUUAACCGCUCCAUGGAACCAGAACCCUUUUUUUUCUCUCUACCGCUCUGCACUGAACCGUGAGUAACAUGUAUAUAUGUCUAUGGUGAGUAACCCAACGAGUAUAGAACAGCUACAUAUUUAUCGCCGCCUAUCGACUUGGAGUGUGAAGACGUCAAAGUCCUAGACAUCAAAGUAGUCUACUGAAAAAAAGCCGUAUUUCUCUGCUCCAAGCCAACAUUCACGAUGUUAAAGGACAGCAGAGUUCUUCAUCAUCACUACUUUUUUGAUCUACCCCAACAUUGUGCCUAAGUCAUCAAAAUGGGUCAACCAGUAUUACAUGGUAAGCUUACAUUAGUCACCAGUCAAACAUGAUAGACUUCCUGGUGUAGCGGCGUAUCUAGGCUAGCUCUAGGUGUUUGCUCUCCUAGUAUGGUUUUGAAGAUCAAAGCCCCUCCCUAGUUCAGGCACAUGAGCCCAUGUUGGUAAGCAUAAAUUGCCUUUUUGGUACUCAAAUCAAUAAAGAAAGGAAAUUCUGCAAAUGCCACAUUACUCUGUGGUCAUGUUUUACAAAUCACAAACAGUUUACAAUUCUUAAAUAGGCUAUUACCAAAAAUUGUUGGCUACCAGUGGAUAGUCUGCCUAGGCAGUACAUAACAAUUGCAGGUGUAUAAAUGCAGGGUAGUCAGGGAGAGUAACUGAUUUUGUCAUUAAAACCUGACUAAACCUUUCCUGAAGAAAGAAGCCUAUGUUGUCUCGUCCAGUAUUCACAAAAGGCCUCAUUAUAUCCUAAGACUGAAAGUAGGAAGCAAAUGAGAGGUUUAUAUAUUUUUUUCUCUGGAUUUUUCCAAGCCUUUAGGAGUUACCAUACCAAAAAAGCCCCUGUCUAUAAACCUUACUUGUUUGACCUAUUGUCGUUUAAGAUUCUCCUAAAAUACGGGUGCAGCAUUUUCUUUCCAUGAACUGUUGUUAGGAUUGGAUGAAACAGCUGCCAUGUCAGUGUCAGUCAGUGUUGUUUUUGUUUAUCAUUGAUGAGAUGAAGGACUGAAAUAUUCAGAUUACUUUCAGAGCGAAGUCACACACAACAUUGUUUGUUUUGAGUUGCAAUAUGUUUAUUGAUAAAGAAAAGGCAAGAGCCAAAAGAAAAAGGGACUUCAUAUAGAAACAUCAAGAUGCUUCAGGGGCUAAACAUACACAUUUAUACUAUCAUGUAAUAAUGAUUUAAAACAUUUCCUUGAAAACCAACAUAACAUCACAUAGUCAUCAUUUAUCUUCUCCUUCUACGCUGUUUUAGAGAGGGUGUGGAGCCUGCAUCACAGUCUGUGACAUGGCACUCGCACGUCUCAAUGUAGAUGUAUGAGUGUGUGAUCUUUGAGCCAUUAGGACAGGUCAGCAACACCUUCCUCUCUUGAGUAGCUUUCUCCUGACAACAUGAGCAGGAAUGCUUCAAGGCGUUGGCCUCUGCCGAGUAUCUGUGGAGACAAACGCACCACAAAGGGGCACACGAUUUAGAAAGUUAGCACCGACUUACUGUCAUACAAUACAUUCAACUUUUGCACUCCGUUUUUUGGCCACUUUGGACAGAUACAGUCUUAACGAGGCUGAUGCAUCAGCACGAUAUAUGACAAAAGUACGUUUUCUGUCCUUUAAAUACUUUGAAGGGAUUCUGGAACCUUCUGACUCGUUCUGAUACUUACAUGGAUGAUGUUCCACAGGAGCCGGCACAGGAGGAGAUCUCGAUGUUCUCUGAGCUGACACAUCCAUUGUAGGAUAUCUGGCAAAGAAUGGGGACACAUUCAGUGGCGUGCAGCUGAGUGUUGGGGUCCACAGCUGAGCCACAGACACAUGACUCACAGGGGUUGGUGGAGGGAACAGCGGAACCAGGCUAGGAGAAGACCUCCAGUCCACACACACUCCCUCUUUGGCGCACGCGGAGGCAAAGGCCUGGAGACUGGUACAGCCCGAUGUUGCUGAGCUGCAUACGUCAGAUGUGCAGCUUUUCACAUAAGCCUCAAGAGGAACCACUUUCCGACACUCCUCAAACACUCUGAUGCAACAAAGAAAUUGUGUGUGAAUGGAGACUGUAGGAUAUAGACUUAGUGAACUAAUACCAUAUUGUAUCAGCUGCAAAUACACCAUGGAAAUGACAAACCAUUGGAAUAUAAUCUCUGUGUGCACAGGGAAAUAGUGAUGGACACACACAAAUACAUUCAACAGGGUUAUAAUUAAGGUAACUGAAUUCAGUAUAAUCAGAUACAUAGCUACAGGAAUAGUGUAAUAAUUGGCUCCCUCAGGUUAAACUGCUUUUUGAUUCAUCAGUGUUACUCACUUGCUGUUUAGGAGUUCACAAAUAGUAGGAUUGCAAACAGCUUUAGUAGUGGUCUUAGGUGGUGCUGUAGUGGUUGUAGGUGUAGGUGGGGGCGUUUUACAUUCCUCAUCGGGGACUAGCCAUGUAUGUGCUGUCACAGAGCACUCCCUGACUUGGCCAGUAGGUGAACGGCAGUCAUUUUCUUUUGAAUUAUCACAGGUCCCUAGAAAGCAUUACAGAUAGUAACAAACAUGUAAGCCAUACAUUAUGUGCAUAAAACCACAGGUGUUGGUUUGUUCAGCAGAUGUCUUAAAUGUACAUUGUAUUCCAGUUCAUCCAAGAUAAUGAAUGAACUAAAUACUCACCACACUGUCCCUCUGUGUUGUUUUUGAAAAGAGAGAAGGCUAGGUCUAUGCCAAAGGAAGAUCCUGUGUAGGUCACUUGAGCCUGAAUCAGGGGGAUUUCCACUGCUAUCUCCAAGCCGGUGCUUGUGAUGAUGAAAUCCGCAUUUUUGAAAGCGGGGUAGACACGCUUUUGGUCAAGAAUAACCUGUGCAUCAUUAAAAAAAAAGAAAAGAAAA
Molecule: long non-coding RNA, 2887 nt
Organism: Clupea harengus (Atlantic herring)
Lineage: Eukaryota; Metazoa; Chordata; Actinopteri; Clupeiformes; Clupeidae
Exons: 4
Source: RefSeq, a predicted model, not a curated record